RNAcentral lists this ribosomal RNA (468 nucleotides) under uncultured bacterium. RNAcentral describes it as "partial 16S ribosomal RNA". It matches the Rfam family "Bacterial small subunit ribosomal RNA", at positions 28 to 507 of the family's 1533-position model. The record is from RNAcentral.
GACGAACGCUGGCGGCGUGCUUAACACAUGCAAGUCGAACGGAAAGACCCUGCUUUUGUGGGGUGCUCGAGUGGCGAACGGGUGAGUAACACGUGAGUAACCUGCCCUUGACUUUGGGAUAACUUCAGGAAACUGCGGCUAAUACCGGAUAGGAGCUCCUGCUGCAUGGUGGGGGUUGGAAAGUUUCGGCGGUUGGGGCUGGACUCGCGGCUUAUCCGCUUGUUGGUGGGGUAGUGGCUUACCAAGGCUUUGACGGGUAGCCGGCCUGGGAGGGUGACCGGCGACAUUGGGACUGAGAUACGGCGCAGACUCCUACGGGAGGCAGCAGUGGGGAAUAUUGCACAAUGGGCGGAAGCCUGAUGCAGCAACGCCGCGUGCGGGAUGACGGCCUUCGGGUUGUAAACCGCUGUCGCAUGUGACGAAGCGUGAGUGACGGUAAUGGGUAAAGAAGCACCGGCUAACUACGUG